UAGGGGGCGAGCGUUGUCCGGAAUGAUUGGGCGUAAAGGGCGCGUAGGCGGUCUGAUAAGUCUGGAGUGAAAGUCCUGCUUUCAAGGUGGGAAUUGCUUUGGAUACUGUCGGGCUGGAGUGCAGGAGAGGUAAGCGGAAUUCCCGGUGUAGCGGUGAAAUGCGUAGAGAUCGGGAGGAACACCAGUGGCGAAGGCGGCUUACUGGACUGUAACUGACGCUGAGGCGCGAAAGCGUGGGGAGCAAA
Molecule: ribosomal RNA, 245 nt
Filed under: uncultured bacterium
Lineage: Bacteria
Description: partial 16S ribosomal RNA
Rfam family: Bacterial small subunit ribosomal RNA
Source: RNAcentral